AGGGGAAGCGCGGCCGCCCCGGGUUAGACACGCGUCUGUUUGCUUGCAGAUGUGCACACACUGUCUCCGGCUUCUUCUGUGGCUUGGUAGAAGCCCCAGCUUUUUAACUUAUUAAGCACAGCUCUUCCCUCUGUAGGACUGCAGGCAGGACAGUCCUCUUCCCGGGCUCACCGCAACAUUCAGUAGCUGCUUUGAAGGAACAGAAUAAGGUUGCCACAUGCCAGUCUGUCCUCCGAUCACUUCAGGGUUCCACUCACCGUGGGUUCAAGGCUUCUUUGAUUCUUUGUUUCCUUUAGUUUUCAUUCUCUCCUCUUCAGAACAAGAGUAGAUGGUUCGGUGUAUGCAAAUAUCACAGUUCCAGCAGAAACCCACACCUGUGACUGAUGGGAGUGGUGGACAAAUACCCACAACUUCCUCUCUCUACUCUUGGCUGAGGACAAUUCUGAAGUGAGCCCUACACUGUCUCCCAGAUGCAGUCUGACCUGAGCCAUGAAGAAGUGCAGAGUCCCCAAGAGGCCAGAGAGCUCACGUCUGGUUAGAGUCGGGGUGUUUGAUGGGAAGAUGAAAGGAGGAGCUGGCAUCUGAGGAAAUCAACAUUCAAGGGGAGACCCAAUGAAGAAGAUAGUGCCAGAACUUAAUGGAGGCAGCCCAAGAGGAACGUGUACCUGGGGAAGUCAAGAGCUAUUUCUUGGACAUUUGUGCCUCUAUUCCAAACUCUUCUCUCAGAGUAGAUGACAACUCAGGAAGGAGCCAGAGAUCUUCCUCAGUUGACUUGUUCAGAAAUAUGAUUUGGGAUUCAGUCUGGCCCGAA
This 811-nucleotide long non-coding RNA is filed under the name Homo sapiens (human). RNAcentral's name for it is "long intergenic non-protein coding RNA 1968". Lineage: Eukaryota; Metazoa; Chordata; Mammalia; Primates; Hominidae. The record is from RNAcentral.